CGGCGUGUGGCUCAGCUUGGUAGAGCGCUACGUUCGGGACGUAGAGGUCGCAAGUUCGAAUCUUGUCACGCCGA
This 74-nucleotide transfer RNA is filed under the name Firmicutes bacterium CAG:534. It matches the Rfam family "tRNA". Rfam says of the family: Transfer RNA (tRNA) molecules are approximately 80 nucleotides in length. Their secondary structure includes four short double-helical elements and three loops (D, anti-codon, and T loops). RNAcentral also lists the same sequence under 2 other names. The record is from Rfam by way of RNAcentral. Lineage: Bacteria; Bacillati; Bacillota.